Molecule: long non-coding RNA, 442 nt
Organism: Cololabis saira (Pacific saury)
Lineage: Eukaryota; Metazoa; Chordata; Actinopteri; Beloniformes; Belonidae
Exons: 3
Source: RefSeq, a predicted model, not a curated record
UACUGCUGUGUCACUCUAGCGUCAGUAAACAAAUAACUACAGCGUGACUGAAGACCUGAGCUUCAAGACGGACCCAUAGAGAAAAACUUAUAGCACGGAUCAUGCUGUGACUGAUAUUCUCUGCGCUGCAUCAUGCAGCUAACUGGCUGGUGUCUUGCUGUGGCUCCUCUGAGAGGGACAAAUCAUCCACUGGAUGUAAAGGAGGGAGAGUGUGGACAGUUUCCAGCAAUGAAAAACCAUCAAGUCAGGAUCUGUCAUAAUGCUUCGUAGCAAGCUGGACACCUGCAGCAUGUUAGCAUUCAUUUUGUGCUGUGUUGUACCUUUUAUAAUGACGACGUGUCUGAAAAGCUCCUUGAUAGGAAGCGGGAUAAUGUCUGACAAUUUACAAGGGCACCACUGACUAAUGUAUGCAAAAAUGUGAUGUAAUCAACCCAAUAUAUUA